Molecule: microRNA precursor, 206 nt
Filed under: Oryza rufipogon (brownbeard rice)
Lineage: Eukaryota; Viridiplantae; Streptophyta; Magnoliopsida; Poales; Poaceae
Description: MIR812 microRNA precursor family
Rfam family: MIR812 microRNA precursor family
Source: Rfam by way of RNAcentral
AAAAAAGCAAACCCUAGAUUUCCGUGUCCAACUUUGACUGUCCGUCUUAUAUGAAAUUUUUUUAUAAUUCGUAUUUUUAUUGUUGUUAGAUGAUAAAACAUGAUUAAUAUUUUAUGCGUGACUUGUCUUUUUAAUUUUUUUUAUAAUUUUUUCAAAUAAGACGGACGGUCAAACGUUGGGCACGGAAACCAGAGUUUGUCUUUUUU